UACAGAGGGUGCAAGCGUUAAUCGGAAUUACUGGGCGUAAAGCGCGCGUAGGUGGUUUGUUAAGUUGGAUGUGAAAGCCCCGGGCUUAACUCGGAACGGCCAAGUGAUACUGUCGCGCUAGAGUGCGGAAGGGGCAAUCAGAAUUCUUGGUGUAGCGGUGAAAUGCGUAGAUAUCAAGAGGAAUACCUGAGGUGAAGACGGGUUGCUAGGCCGACACUGAC
Molecule: ribosomal RNA, 221 nt
Filed under: uncultured prokaryote
Description: partial 16S ribosomal RNA
Rfam family: Bacterial small subunit ribosomal RNA
Source: RNAcentral